UACGUAGGGUGCGAGCGUUAAUCGGAAUUACUGGGCGUAAAGCGUGCGCAGGCGGUCUGUUAAGACCGAUGUGAAAUCCCCGGGCUUAACCUGGGAACUGCAUUGGUGACUGGCAGGCUUUGAGUGUGGCAGAGGGAGGUAGAAUUCCACGUGUAGCGGUGAAAUGCGUAGAUAUCUGGAGGAACACCGGUGGCGAAGGCGACAUCCUGGACCGGUAUUGACGCUGAGGCGCGAAAGCCAGGGGAGCAAACGGG
RNAcentral lists this ribosomal RNA (254 nucleotides) under uncultured bacterium. RNAcentral's name for it is "partial 16S ribosomal RNA". It matches the Rfam family "Bacterial small subunit ribosomal RNA", at positions 524 to 776 of the family's 1533-position model. The record is from RNAcentral.